UGCAGCCUGAGUUUCUCUGAUACGCAUCCUAAGUUGUAUAGACGGCGGUAAGGGACGGCGAGAUUGGCGGCACGGAGGUUGCAAAGGGACGGAUAAAGGGUGGAGCAAAUGGGCUUCCAAAGGUGGUCGGAGGACAUGCAAAUGGACCAUGACUUGCAUACACAGGAGGCUAUAAUUAGUGUUUUGGGGUCAAGAUGGUUGGCGACUAGGCUAAGAACACUCCAUGGAGGUG
This 232-nucleotide long non-coding RNA is filed under the name Coffea arabica (coffee). Its description in RNAcentral is "long non-coding RNA (CARA_LNC004580)". The record is from RNAcentral. Lineage: Eukaryota; Viridiplantae; Streptophyta; Magnoliopsida; Gentianales; Rubiaceae.